CCCCCUUGCGGUAAAAAUGAUAUGUUCACGCCGCGCGGCCCUGAUGUUGCGUGAUGAAGUUGAUAUACUUUACUUGACCUUUCAAUUUUGAUACAUUGUAUCUGUUAAUUCAAUUCUCUCACCGGAAGCACUGCUGUGUUUUGUAAAAACGAGUUAUAUUGAAGAUAAAUUGACAGGGUAUUUCUUGACAUCAUCUGAAAAAGGUAGAGCCUAGCCUACGCUUAGCAGUCGAGGCCUACUUUGCAAGUUUUAUCUUAAAAUUCGUCGACAGCAUAAAAUCCGCGAGAGGCCAGAAAAACUGAACCUUAUGAACUGUGAUGGUGAUGAGUAUGGUCUUGGGAGACGCCAAGCCGUGUGUCUGAGUGACCAGCCGCACAUCACUCAUUGUCAUCUCCUUGGAGCCCCCAGCACCCCAGGCUCCCUCUCAGUGCCAACGCCAGACUGGAACCCAACUGUCAGCUCUUUGGGUGGAGAGGAUCCCAAGUCCUAACCGGACUCAAGAUUAAUAAGUUCCCCUUGUGUCAGUCUUUCAGGAUCAACCUCCCCCUCCUCUCUGGGCUCUCCUGCUGCUCCCGUAAACAACUACUGUGACAGAGCGGUGAGCUGAGCUGACAGAUCCACACUCCAGCAGCCA
Molecule: long non-coding RNA, 634 nt
Filed under: Salmo salar (Atlantic salmon)
Lineage: Eukaryota; Metazoa; Chordata; Actinopteri; Salmoniformes; Salmonidae
Description: lncRNA (ENSSSAG00000090077.1)
Source: RNAcentral